GUUUACCCAAUAGAUUUCAAGGUGUAGGAAGGCGGUGAGCGAGAGCAACCAACACACCUACAGCUUGAAAGAUGAAGGGUUGUUGCCGUGGAAACUUUUGGCCCAUCUCCGGAUGGGCUUUUUU
This 124-nucleotide non-coding RNA is filed under the name Yersinia mollaretii ATCC 43969. Its description in RNAcentral is "Yersinia sRNA 49". It matches the Rfam family "Yersinia sRNA 49". Lineage: Bacteria; Pseudomonadati; Pseudomonadota; Gammaproteobacteria; Enterobacterales; Yersiniaceae. The record is from Rfam by way of RNAcentral.